Molecule: long non-coding RNA, 3937 nt
Filed under: Sus scrofa (pig)
Lineage: Eukaryota; Metazoa; Chordata; Mammalia; Artiodactyla; Suidae
Description: lncRNA (ENSSSCG00050061343.1)
Source: RNAcentral
UUUUUUUUUUUUUUUUUUUUUUUUUUUGCUUUUUGGGCCCUCACUCACAGUAUGUGGAAGUUCCCAGGCUAGGGGAUGAAUUAGAGCUACAGCUGCCUGCUGACAGCAUGGCCACAGCAACAUGGGAUCUGAGCCAUUCUGCCACCUACACCACAGCUUAGGGCAAUGCCAGAUCCCCGACCCACUGAGCAAGGCCGGGGAUUGAACCCAUGUCUUCAUGGAUACUAGUUGGAUUUGUUUCCGCAACGCCACAGCAGGAACUCCCUAUCCUUAUUUCUAAUACCAAUAAGGGUACUACAAGUACUCUUUUGCUUAGGGCUUCUUUCACUAAGCUCCAUGUUUAUAAGAUAAAUUACUGUUGUAAGCUGCAGUGCUACCCUUCAUUGUCAUUGCUGUAUAAUAUUCCAUUAUGUGACUAGAUCACAAUUGGUUUAUUUAUCCCUCUGCGGAUUAAUGUUUAGAUUACUUCAGUUCUGGAUUAUGAUAAAUAGUACUAAUGAAAACAUUCUUGCAUAUGAUUUUCUGUCAACAUGUGUACACUUCUCUUUUGGAUACCUAGGACUAGAAUUACUGAGUCAUAGGGAACGAAAAUAUCCAACUUUAGUCAAUAUCGUCACUUUUCCAAAGUGGUUGUGACAAUAUAUACUCCCACAAAUAGUGUACAGAGUUCCUGUUGCUCAAUAAGUUUACUCGCUAUUCUUGCUAUUAAUUAGUAUCAUUGUUUUUAUUGGUUAGUUCCUACUAGCUAGCAUACCUAUUGUUCAACAUGUUCUGAAGAGUUCCAUCUUUUACAUUUGAACCCUUCUGAUAAAGGUACAGUGACACUGUGAUAUUGCAUUGUAAUCAAAAUUUUCAUUUUCCAAUGACUGAUGAAGCUGAGCAGCCUUUCAUGAGUUUACUGGUCAUUUGGAUAUUAUACACUUUUAGUGAAAUUCUCGUUCAAGCUGUUUGCCCAUGAUUUACUACUGAAUGGCCUUUUACUUAUGGAGCAUUCUUUAUGCAUUUUGUAGAGUCCUUUGGUUAGCAUAUAUGGAGCAAAUAUCUUCUUACUCACUUUUAUAUAGUUCUAUAGAAACAAAUGUGGUGGGAUCAUGCCUCUGAAACUUCUUUUAUCUGUGCAAAUUUAGGUGAGUUAACAAGCCUCUCUGAACCUCAGUUUUCUCUAUAAAAAGUGGAAAGGAUAACCUUCACCCAACCUACAUCAUCUUGUCACUGGGAGGAAAAUGAGACACUACAUACACAGCAGCUUGAAGAAUUCAUAAGUAUCCAGGAAAAGAACUAUAACUGUGGUUUGCGACUAUUGUAGAUACCUUCUAUUACUAUUAGUGGUAAGUAAAUUGUCAUCAGAGGAGAAAACAAUCACAUUCUAUGAUGGGUAGAAAAAGGAUUUAGGAAUAAAUCAUCCUAUGAGGAUGAUCUCUUUAGUUCACAUCCCUUGGAGAAAGAACGUUUAGUUACACAUCCCACGCCGAAAAGGAAUCUUGUAAGGCCGAAAUAACGCUCCCAGAUGUGAGCCUCAGCACUCACACAAGUGUUUCCAGAAGUGGACAAUGCCAUUCCUUAUUUCUCAUUUCCUCUCAGUUCCCUUUCUUUCCAAUAAUAUAUCCAACAGGCAAGGAUGUCUUCCCCAAGAAGGUGGUACCACUUCUCAAGAACCUGAGCCCAUGACAAGAUGUGUUUCCCAUCCAUUUUCUUUCCUUAAACCAAAGAGCAAUUGACUUUUGUUGAGAAUUUAGUGAUAUAAGGGCUGUGGGGGAUAUAUAUAAUUGUAGGGAAUAGUAGAAGGUCAGAUGCUAACACACUGAAAUCAUCUCAUCCUAUCUCCUAAUUUUACAGCUGAGGAAACAGAGACUUAGAGAGAUCAAGUUACUCACCUAAGGAUGUACAUGAAGUGAGUGAAGGACAAAAACCUACAACUUUGCUUUACAGGCUAUGUUCUCUGGAGGACUGUGUCUGUGUUGUUCAUUGUCACAGCACAUGGCACACCAAGCACAAUGCCUUUUAAACAGCCUUCCUGUCAUGUCUCAAACAACCAAGCUCAUUCGUAUCGGAAAAGAGAACCAAUAAAUGGAAAAGGCUUGGCACUUUAAAAAGUUUAUAGAAUUACAUAAACAAGCAAUUGUUUGGGCAUACACACAGCUAGGAGAACGUGUACAAAUGAUUAACUAUGGGAUACGUCUCAUGUUCCUCAGAGAAUCCUUCCAAAACCACCCACACCCUGAGACAGUGUACACAUAGCAAUAUUGUUCUUAAUUCUAUUAUAGCUGUGUGUGUUGUAUCAUCUCAUAUUAUAGAUAGCUAUUCAUGUGUUUCAAUCCACUAAACUGUGCCUAGUCCAGACCUAGUGGGUGAUCAUAAAUAGUUGUUACACAAAUGACUCAAUCAACCAACUAAUAGUGAACAGUGGAUUUCUCUGUUAUUUUAGCAUCUCAACCUAUAUUCCCAGGGCUGUAAUUAGGGAUAUUAAGAUCCCUGAAAUUGGAAUUCCUGCUGUGGUACAGCAGGUUAAGGAUCCAGCAUUGCCACAGCUGUGGCAUAGGUCACCGAUGAGGCUCAGAUUCAAUCCCUGGUCCGCCCGAACUUCCAUAUGCUGCAGGUGCAGCCAAAAAAGAAAAUAAUAACAACAAAAAGACCCCUGAAAUUGUGGCUCAGUAAGUAUGUUGUCUCUGGGGGCAGGAUGCAUACACAUAUACGUGCAUACACAUAUCUGUUUCUCUUGUUAACUUCGAAUAUGAAAAAAACAAAGAUUAUAAGAAACUUUGUUAUUUUGAUGAAGUACAGCAACUCUGCCAAGUCUGUUUUCUUUUUCCUUUCUUUACAUUCAUUGAUUCAUCCAUUCAUUUACAUAUUUUUUCAAUUAAAGAAUUACUCUUGAGAAAAGAUCAGCUGGUGAGAAUUGUUUUGUCCCCAGGGGGACAUGUGCCAAUGUCUGGAGAUAUUUUUGGUUUUCAUAACUUAGUUCUCCAAGUUGCUACUGGAAUAGUGGAUUAAAGCCAGUGAUGUGGUUACACAUUGGGAGGGCACACGACUAGCCCCCCUCAAAGACACAUGCAACCCCAAAUGCCAGUAGUGCCAGGUCAAGAAAUCUGCUAUAUAUCUACUGUAACUCAAAUACUGUCCACUGCCCUGUGUAUCCAGAAGAAGACUGUCACUGAUUUAAAAGAAAGCAUAUAUACACACUACUGUAUAUAAAAUAGACAAUUAACAAGGACCUACUGUAUAGCACAGGGAAAUCUACUCAGUAGUUUGUAAUAACCUAUGUGGGAAAAAGGAAUGGAUAUAUGUGUAUGUAUAACUGAUUCACGUUGCUGUACACCUGGAAUGAAUACCACAUUGUAAGUCAACUAUAGUCCACUAAAAUAUUUUAAAAAAAUAAAAAAAAAGAGAGAGAGUACUGGUCUCAUCCAAGGACAAGAAAUAUACACUUAUAUAUUACAUAUACAAUAGAUACAUAUAAUAGAGCUUUCCUUCUUUAAUCUUUGCAGAGAAAUAAACCUGCCUUGUUCAUCUGUAGAAAGUCACAAUGGUCAUUUGAAUCUAACAUUUGAAAUUUGAACCAUUCAGGUCAUCCAACAACCACUUUACCGUAUGUCUCAUCGUUGCCCGGCACAGUGCUGUGCCAAAAGAGAAGGUAAAAGAGAGAAAUGAUUCACCUUGAAUGGAUGCUUCCCAUUUCUCAAAGCAUCUUACCAUGUGACCUCACAACUUCCCUUUAAGGUAAGGAGUUUGAUAAUUGUUGACCCAAUCCAACAGGUAAAGAAACUAAGACACAGAGAUAACACAGAGUAUCUUCUAAAAUUAAAGAGUUCUCUCCGUAAUACACAAGCGAAGCCAUGGCUUGUGUAAAACUGAAAAUAAGAAUUAGGGUGAAACCCAUUAAAUGGCAUAGAUAUGUUUUAUAGUUGCCUAUCUGGAACCAAGAAGGAGGUAGAAGGCU